This 253-nucleotide ribosomal RNA is filed under the name uncultured bacterium. Its description in RNAcentral is "partial 16S ribosomal RNA". It matches the Rfam family "Bacterial small subunit ribosomal RNA", at positions 524 to 776 of the family's 1533-position model. The record is from RNAcentral.
UACGAAGGGGGCUAGCGUUGCUCGGAAUCACUGGGCGUAAAGGGUGCGUAGGCGGGUCUUUAAGUCAGGGGUGAAAUCCUGGAGCUCAACUCCAGAACUGCCUUUGAUACUGAAGAUCUUGAGUCCGGGAGAGGUGAGUGGAACUCCGAGUGUAGAGGUGAAAUUCGUAGAUAUUCGGAAGAACACCAGUGGCGAAGGCGGCUCACUGGCCCGGUACUGACGCUUAAGAGCGAAAGCGUGGGGAGCAAACAGG